This 443-nucleotide ribosomal RNA is filed under the name uncultured bacterium. Its description in RNAcentral is "partial 16S ribosomal RNA". It matches the Rfam family "Bacterial small subunit ribosomal RNA", at positions 338 to 795 of the family's 1533-position model. The record is from RNAcentral.
CCUACGGGUGGCAGCAGUGGGGAAUAUUGGGCAAUGGGCGCAAGCCUGACCCAGCAACGCCGCGUGAAGGAAGAAGGCUUUCGGGUUGUAAACUUCUUUUGUCAGGGACGAAGCACGUGACGGUACCUGACGAAUAAGCCACGGCUAACUACGUGCCCGCAGCCGCGGUAAUACGUAGGUGGCAAGCGUUAUCCGGAUUUAUUGGGUGUAAAGGGCGUGUAGGCGGGAAUGCAAGUCAGAUGUGAAAACUAUGGGCUCAACCCAUAGCCUGCAUUUGAAACUGUAGUUCUUGAGUGCGGGAGAGGCAAUCGGAAUUCCGGGUGUAGCGGUGAAAUGCGUAGAUAUACGGAGGAACACCAGUGGCGAAGGCGGAUUGCUGGACAGUAACUGACGCUGAGGCGCGAAAGCGUGGGGAGCAAACAGGAUUAGAUACCCGUGUAGUC